Non-coding RNA from Prunus mume (Japanese apricot), 1530 nucleotides. The record is from RefSeq and is a predicted model, not a curated record. NCBI's taxonomy places the organism in Eukaryota, Viridiplantae, Streptophyta, Magnoliopsida, Rosales, Rosaceae.
UAGCCGAUAAAUUCGAAUAGUGGCGGAGACGACGACGUAGCUGCCGCUAUGGACAGCGACGAAGUUGGAGUUGUGGAUUACGAGUUCAUCGACAACGACUCUGACAAUUCCAAUGAUGUUGCCUCACAUCGAUACCAGGUUUAUGUGAUUGGGGAGGAAGGUAUCUUGAAGGAGCUUGAGCUUGCUGGACAUCAAUACCUUGGUGGACCAGAAGACGGUGGGAAGAAGAUAGAUCUGAAGCCUGGAUUUCUGAUGGAGCAUGAUGAUAAUGCAUACUUCUGUCCCUUCUUGCCUCAUAGAACUUUGUUUAUUAUUGGGUUGGAGCUGUUGUGGUUGGAUUUGACUGAAAUUUCAGCUACUACAGAAUUCAGUUAGUUCUGGUGAUUCUUGUUUAUGUCAAUGCAUGUGUGUUGAACACACUGCAAAUUAAUUUUGUUGCAAGUGCACUUGUCACAUGUAUUGCAGUCUUCUCUGGUGGCAUUCAAUGUUUAUGUGAUGGAAGGUAUGGGACACUCUGUAUACGGACCCUGGAUGUCUUUUCAUUGCAACAAAUCAUGAUGCUGUCACUCAUCUCAUAGAUGCUCAGGAAUGGCAGAAUCAGUUCUAGCAGAAAGUGUUCAAAAUCUGAAUGAGAAAAUCGAUCGUAUCGAAGAGUGUUGACGACAUGGCGCAGAAGAUCCAUCAUUUGCAAUCUGUUUUGUUCACUCUUAAGGGAGACUCAUUGGGAGAGGCUUAACACUCUAGAAGAAGAGGUACGGCUUCUGUGGGCUGCAUCAAGAAAGUACAACUUCGAUCUUCAUGUUUUAGAGUCUAAAGCACAAGAUGCUGAGGAUAGACUCGAAACGGCUGCCUCUCAGGUGCAAAAGGUCAUGCACUGAUGUACUCAAUCUAUCUAUGGUCUAUGGCUAUGAGUGUGUGAUGUUGUUAGUGUGGUGUUCAUUUUGCCAUUGGCUUCUUUCUCUUUGCUUUCAAAUGCCUGACAUUGUUACAGAGCAAUGGAUUCAAAUUCAGCGGCUUGAGCAGGCUCUUCAUAUUACACAAGUUUUUUCUGCUUGAAACUGGCUUUAGUUCAUAAACAACUUUUCUGAUGACCCUCUGCUGAAGAUGCUUGGGCCUAACUCAGAUCCUAUUUAUCUCGAGCUUUGCAUCAGUUCAAGAGAGUUUUGCAGAUUUUAAAAGGUCUCACCAUGAGGAACUCUGAAGGCAGUUACAACAUUUCUUUAUGCCUGAAACUGGAAAAGAAUGAAUUCACAGCAGCUCUUGCAAAUGAGGAAUUAGUUUUCUUUAUGGCUUCCGCAUUAAUCACCUUCCCAGUAAUGAGUGCUUGGAUGUUGCUCUCAUCAAAACUCACUAGCUGAAAUCACAAGUUCUGAAUGAAAGAAAUUUUUGAGAAUUUGAUAUUGUUAACAGUUAUAUUUGAUAGCAACUGUUACCAUGUUGGCCUAAGUUAGGAGAUUUGACGCAUAGAUCAAUGCCUACAACAGCGACUGUAACCAUUACAAACAUGAAUGUAUAAUAGUUUGAAAGAUA